GGAGAAGGGCCAUAGCUUAGUGGUAGAGCAUCUGCCUUGUACACAGGUGGUCUUAAGUUCAAUCCCUGGCAUCUCCA
Molecule: non-coding RNA, 77 nt
Organism: Podarcis lilfordi (Lilford's wall lizard)
Lineage: Eukaryota; Metazoa; Chordata; Lepidosauria; Squamata; Lacertidae
Source: the annotation of a GenBank genome assembly